CUACGGGUGGCUCCAGUGAGGAAUUUUGCGCAAUGGGGGGAACCCUGACGCAGCAACGCCGCGUGAGUGAUGAAGGCUUUCGGGUCGUAAAGCUCUGUCAAGUGGGAAGAACCUAUGCAGUGUUAAUAUCACUGUAUACUGACGGUACCACUGAAGGAAGCACCGGCUAACUCCGUGCCAGCAGGCCGCGGUAAUACGGGGGGUGCAAGCGUUAUUCGGAAUCAUUGGGCGUAAAGGGCACGUAGGCGGCUUGGUAAGUCAGAUGUGAAAGCCCGGGGCUUAACCCCGGAAGUGCAUUUGAUACUGUCAGGCUUGAGUAUGGGAGAGGGAAGUGGAAUUCCUGGUGUAGAGGUGAGAUUCGUAGAUAUCAGGAGGAACACCGGUGGCGAAGGCGACUUCCUGGACCAAUACUGACGCUGAGGUGCGAAGGCGUGGGUAGCAAACAGGAUUAGAUACCCGGGUAGUC
RNAcentral lists this ribosomal RNA (466 nucleotides) under uncultured bacterium. RNAcentral's name for it is "partial 16S ribosomal RNA". It matches the Rfam family "Bacterial small subunit ribosomal RNA", at positions 339 to 795 of the family's 1533-position model. The record is from RNAcentral.